Molecule: long non-coding RNA, 1379 nt
Organism: Equus caballus (horse)
Lineage: Eukaryota; Metazoa; Chordata; Mammalia; Perissodactyla; Equidae
Source: Ensembl
GAACCUUCAGAGACCAUCAUCCUUCUCACCCUGCAGAUGCUGAACACAGAUGAAGGGUAGGGACAAGAAACUCUUCCGAUUGUUUGUUUGGUUGUGGUUCCUGUUGCAUGUUGAGUUUAAGUUUUUCUCAAUAGAUGCAGAUGUUGUGGAGGCCAGGAAACAGGAUUGUCCCGUUUGUGCCACAGGGUAGAGAGAGAUUUCUUCUCCAGGGGAAGGGACUCUGCCACAGAAGCGAGAGGCAAAGAAAGUCUGUACGGACUGCAGUGUUCUGAAAACAUAAGCAUCUGGACACAACAGUGCAUGAAUACUGAGUGCUCUAAUGUCAGCUGAAAAAAGAAGAAAGCCCCAUGAUUAAAUAGAUUUUGAGUCUUGCUAAGUAUUACUGAUGUCUCCAUGCAGCCUACAUACUUAAUGGUUGAUUAGAUGUGGACUCCAUCAUUUUCUGUUACUCAGACUUUUUUAUAACUCUAUAGAAACAGCAUUGACCUGAUAUAUCUGGGAAAGGAGAAGAAUGUAACCCAAUUAGAGUAGUUCGUCAAAGCAAAAAUUGCACGGGACAAGGUUAAAUGGGCAAAGAAGACUGGAAUCAAAGGUUUUUCAACAGAGGAGGGAGAGCAGGACUCAGUCUGAACUCAACUCUUCUGAAACAAAGAGCAGUGGGUUCAAUUUGCUGGAAUGAGCUAGCGAAAAAGCAGUGUAGGAUGUGAGGGGAGAAGUUCGUCAGUGGGGUGGGUCCAGCACACUGCAUUAUUCCUGAGUCUGCAAAUGUUUAUCUCUGUGAUUAGGCCAUCUGUGUUUGCUAAUUGUCACUCACUGAAGUUAGGUUCCUACCCUCCCACAGAGACCAGGAGAUAAAAACAUUAUCUUCCUUGAUGAUCACAUUUCAAAAGCAUGGAUUCCAGGUUCUUGAGAAAGACAUUCCUGGGUUGUAAAAGUGGCAAGAGACUUUUAAAAAGAGUUCCACGUAUCUCAAAGACGCAGAAAAAAAUUGAUAAUUACAAGUUUUCUACAGAAAAUGCUCAAAGGAAAGAGAGACCAUGGGCCAAGAGUCAGGAAGAAAUUUGUCUAAAGCUCAGUCAAGCUGAGAGGAACAUUAAGGCCACCUUGGACAAGUCCACGAACUAGGUAUUUGAGGGAUUAUUUAAAACUACAUGAAAGAAAGAGCUAUAUUAAAUAGUUUUUUAAAAAGACAAAAAACAAAACUGCAAUCAUAAUAAACAAAGGACAGGAUCCAGGACACCAAAAAUAGGCACCUCACGAAGGAGUCUUCAUGGGAAAGUCUGACACAGCUGCACAUGUUCACCUACAAGCUACGGACGAGCUCCUAAGUGCAUCAGGCUGUAUCACAGCUUAUUGCUGAUCCUGCUUAUUCCAUUUCC